RNAcentral lists this ribosomal RNA (443 nucleotides) under uncultured bacterium. RNAcentral describes it as "partial 16S ribosomal RNA". It matches the Rfam family "Bacterial small subunit ribosomal RNA", at positions 338 to 795 of the family's 1533-position model. The record is from RNAcentral.
CCUACGGGAGGCAGCAGUGGGGAAUAUUGGGCAAUGGGCGCAAGCCUGACCCAGCAACGCCGCGUGAAGGAAGAAGGCUUUCGGGUUGUAAACUUCUUUUGUCAGGGACGAAGCAAGUGACGGUACCUGACGAAUAAGCCACGGCUAACUACGUGCCAGCAGCCGCGGUAAUACGUAGGUGGCAAGCGUUAUCCGGAUUUACUGGGUGUAAAGGGCGUGUAGGCGGGGAAGCAAGUCAGAUGUGAAAACCACGGGCUCAACCUGUGGCCUGCAUUUGAAACUGUUUUUCUUGAGUGCUGGAGAGGCAAUCGGAAUGCCGUGUGUAGCGGUGAAAUGCGGAGAUAUAAGGAGGAACACCAGUGGCGAAGGCGGUCUGCUGGACAGCAACUGACGGUGAGGCGCGAAAGCGUGGGGAGCAAACAGGAUUAGAUACCCUGGUAGUC